AUUUAAUUGAAGAGUUUGAUCAUGGCUCAGAUUGAACGCUGGCGGCAGCCCUUAUACAUGCAAGUCGAACGAGAAAGUUCCUUCGGGAGCGAGUAAAGUGGCGGACGGGUGAGUAACGCGUAGGAAUCUACCUUUCAGUGGGGGAUAGCUCGGGGAAACUCGAAUUAAUACCGCAUACACCCUUCGGGGGAAAGGGGGCCUCUCCUUGGAAGCUCUCGCUGUUAGAUGAGCCUGCGUGAGAUUAGCUUGUUGGUAAGGUAAUGGCUUACCAAGGCUACGAUCUCUAGCUGGUCUGAGAGGACGAUCAGCCACACUGGGACUGAGACACGGCCCAGACUCCUACGGGAGGCAGCAGUAGGGAAUAUUG
RNAcentral lists this ribosomal RNA (367 nucleotides) under Gammaproteobacteria bacterium. RNAcentral describes it as "bacterial SSU rRNA". It matches the Rfam family "Bacterial small subunit ribosomal RNA", at positions 1 to 366 of the family's 1533-position model. Lineage: Bacteria; Pseudomonadati; Pseudomonadota; Gammaproteobacteria. The record is from RNAcentral.